This 1102-nucleotide ribosomal RNA is filed under the name Pediococcus pentosaceus. RNAcentral's name for it is "bacterial SSU rRNA". It matches the Rfam family "Bacterial small subunit ribosomal RNA", at positions 372 to 1467 of the family's 1533-position model. The record is from RNAcentral. Lineage: Bacteria; Bacillati; Bacillota; Bacilli; Lactobacillales; Lactobacillaceae.
UGGACGCAAGUCUGAUGGAGCAACGCCGCGUGAGUGAAGAAGGGUUUCGGCUCGUAAAGCUCUGUUGUUAAAGAAGAACGUGGGUAAGAGUAACUGUUUACCCAGUGACGGUAUUUAACCAGAAAGCCAGGCUAACUACGUGCCAGCAGCCGCGGUAAUACGUAGGUGGCAAGCGUUAUCCGGAUUUAUUGGGCGUAAAGCGAGCGCAGGCGGUCUUUUAAGUCUAAUGUGAAAGCCUUCGGCUCAACCGAAGAAGUGCAUUGGAAACUGGGAGACUUGAGUGCAGAAGAGGACAGUGGAACUCCAUGUGUAGCGGUGAAAUGCGUAGAUAUAUGGAAGAACACCAGUGGCGAAGGCGGCUGUCUGGUCUGCAACUGACGCUGAGGCUCGAAAGCAUGGGUAGCGAACAGGAUUAGAUACCCUGGUAGUCCAUGCCGUAAACGAUGAUUACUAAGUGUUGGAGGGUUUCCGCCCUUCAGUGCUGCAGCUAACGCAUUAAGUAAUCCGCCUGGGGAGUACGACCGCAAGGUUGAAACUCAAAAGAAUUGACGGGGGCCCGCACAAGCGGUGGAGCAUGUGGUUUAAUUCGAAGCUACGCGAAGAACCUUACCAGGUCUUGACAUCUUCUGACAGUCUAAGAGAUUAGAGGUUCCCUUCGGGGACAGAAUGACAGGUGGUGCAUGGUUGUCGUCAGCUCGUGUCGUGAGAUGUUGGGUUAAGUCCCGCAACGAGCGCAACCCUUAUUACUAGUUGCCAGCAUUAAGUUGGGCACUCUAGUGAGACUGCCGGUGACAAACCGGAGGAAGGUGGGGACGACGUCAAAUCAUCAUGCCCCUUAUGACCUGGGCUACACACGUGCUACAAUGGAUGGUACAACGAGUCGCGAGACCGCGAGGUUAAGCUAAUCUCUUAAAACCAUUCUCAGUUCGGACUGUAGGCUGCAACUCGCCUACACGAAGUCGGAAUCGCUAGUAAUCGCGGAUCAGCAUGCCGCGGUGAAUACGUUCCCGGGCCUUGUACACACCGCCCGUCACACCAUGAGAGUUUGUAACACCCAAAGCCGGUGGGGUAACCUUUUAGGAGCUAGCCGUCUAAGGGGAAA